GUCCAGAUAGUUUAAAAAAAAUAGCAAGUUGUGGUCUUGCAGAUAUUGUUAUUCUAGACA
Molecule: transfer RNA, 60 nt
Filed under: Epipenaeon fissurae
Lineage: Eukaryota; Metazoa; Arthropoda; Malacostraca; Isopoda; Bopyridae
Description: tRNA-His
Source: RNAcentral